GAUGAACGCUGGCGGCGUGCCUAAUACAUGCAAGUCGAGCGAACAGACGAGUAUCUUGCUCCUCUUACGUUAGCGGCUGACGGGUGAUUAACACGUUUAUAACCUACCUAUAAUACUUGGAUAACUUCGUGAAACCGUAUCUAAUACCGGAUAACAUUUUUAUCCGCAUGGUUCAACAGUUUAUGACGGUCUUUCUGUCACUUAUAGAUGGUUCCUCGCCGCAUUAGCUAGUUGGUAAGGUAACGGCUUACCAAGGCAACGAUGCGUAGCCGACCUGAGAGGGUGAUCGGCCACACUGGAACUGAGACAAGGAAAAGAGUACUACGGGAGGCAGCAGUAGGGAAUAGGGCGCAAUGGGCGAAAGCAUGACGGAGCAACGCCGAGUGAGAGAAGAAGGUCUUAGGAUCGGAAAAAAAUGUUAUUAGGGAAGAAAAAAUGUGUAAGAAAAUAUGCACGGAAUGACGGUAACUAAUAAGAAAGCAACGGCUAACUACGUG
RNAcentral lists this ribosomal RNA (497 nucleotides) under uncultured bacterium. RNAcentral describes it as "partial 16S ribosomal RNA". It matches the Rfam family "Bacterial small subunit ribosomal RNA", at positions 28 to 507 of the family's 1533-position model. The record is from RNAcentral.